This 585-nucleotide ribosomal RNA is filed under the name uncultured bacterium. RNAcentral's name for it is "partial 16S ribosomal RNA". It matches the Rfam family "Bacterial small subunit ribosomal RNA", at positions 355 to 937 of the family's 1533-position model. The record is from RNAcentral.
UGGGGAAUUUUGGACAAUGGGCGAAAGCCUGAUCCAGCAAUGCCGCGUGUGUGAAGAAGGCCUUCGGGUUGUAAAGCACUUUUGUCCGGAAAGAAAUCCUCUGGGUUAAUACCUCGGGGGGAUGACGGUACCGGAAGAAUAAGCACCAGCUAACUACGUGCCAGCAGCCGCGGUAAUACGUAGGGUGCAAGCGUUAAUCGGAAUUACUGGGCGUAAAGCGUGCGCAGGCGGUUUUGUAAGACGGAUGUGAAAUCCCCGGGCUUAACCUGGGAACUGCAUUCGUGACUGCAAGGCUAGAGUAUGGCAGAGGGGGGUAGAAUUCCACGUGUAGCAGUGAAAUGCGUAGAGAUGUGGAGGAAUACCGAUGGCGAAGGCAGCCCCCUGGGCCAAUACUGACGCUCAUGCACGAAAGCGUGGGGAGCAAACAGGAUUAGAUACCCCUGGUAGUCCACGCCCUAAACGAUGUCAACUAGUUGUUGGGGAUUCAUUUCCUUAGUAACGUAGCUAACGCGUGAAGUUGACCGCCUGGGGAGUACGGUCGCAAGAUUAAAACUUAAAUGAAUUGACGGGGUCAUAGCUGUUUCC